UUUGUUAGACAGACACGAAGCCCUUCAGGAAGUACAUGAAGAUGGAUGAGACCUACUGAAACUUCUUCCACAUUCUCUUUCCUCUGGAAGUCUUGCCAGUGUAUACCACUGCCUGAUCAUGGUACCCCCAGUGAAACAGCUUGAACAAGAAGAGCAAGACAGCAAGAAAACAAAAUCAUAUCCUCUUAAAGUCUUUCAACGCUGUUGUUUCAGGAAUUCUAAGAUCAUUGGCUAAUACUAAGAAUAAGGAUUAUAAAAAUAUUUUACGACUUCCAUCCAUUAGACCUUUUGGAAAGAAAGUGAAAAUUCCAUUUAAGAAAAAUGCUAUGACAAUACGUAAUGGAGAAGUCUGCAUCCUUUAUGUAAUGAGGCAUGAAGCUCUGUCACCAGAAAUGGAAACACACAGACAAGAUAUGUUGCUCAGGAAGAUCACAGUUUCUUUCAUUACUUGCAGAACUACCUUUGAAAUAACCACCAGAGGCUCACAUCCACUGCUGUCAAGCCAGAGCAUUCUAAAACAGAACAUAAAAUCUCCUACAACCCUUGCUGCCCACCAAGAUGAAACUUCAAGGGCAGCGCAUUUCUCUUUACCCAGGAUGACUACCAUGUCUCAGCCUGAGCAGUGCUCUCCUCUAAAUGGGAAAGUACAACAGUUCCUCAAGAAGGCUGCUUUCCCAUCCGUAGAAUUGCAAACUAGAAAUGAGAGAGAAGCACAACAGAAAGUGGACAAAGAACUAAGAAAGAAAUUGGGUAUUGUUAAAGAAAUAAGAAUCCAUCUCAAGAGGAUAAAUCCCAGUGAACUUAAAGAGGAUUCUGGCAAAGCUUCUCCAUUUAAAUGGAAGCAUUGA
Molecule: long non-coding RNA, 848 nt
Filed under: Numida meleagris (helmeted guineafowl)
Lineage: Eukaryota; Metazoa; Chordata; Aves; Galliformes; Numididae
Description: lncRNA (ENSNMEG00000001553.1)
Source: RNAcentral